Molecule: long non-coding RNA, 1875 nt
Filed under: Homo sapiens (human)
Lineage: Eukaryota; Metazoa; Chordata; Mammalia; Primates; Hominidae
Description: HSALNT0392198
Source: RNAcentral
GUCGUCCCUGGCAACACUGGCUGCUCUAGCGCCUGGCGGGGUCUCACGGGCGGGCCUGGGCGCACGGCCAAAGCGCCAGGUCUCCACCCCCAGCCCCCGGCGUCCUGCAGCCGGAGCCUGCCUCGCCUGGCUCCUGCGCCCGCCGUCCAGGGCCCCUGUCCAAGCUCGCGGACGCCGGCGGCGUUUUCCAGCUCGAGUGCUCAGCCUAGGGCAGGCUCUGCGUGCGCCCCCUCGAGUGCCGGCCUGGGCCCUGCCAGGCAGAGGCGCUCUUGCGUCAGGACGGCGCCGCCGGGGCCCCGCGAUUCCAACUCGGGGGUCCCGGAGCGGCGCGGGGCGGGGACGGCCUGGCAGCUCCCAGCAGCGAGGGGCGAUCCCCGCCCGCGCAGCAGACCCCGAGCUGCCCAGGCCCUUCCUGCGCCACGUGUACCCAGAGCUCCGCCCGGGGGAGACUUCGCUGCUUGUUGGAGAUGCCCAGCGGUAGGGGGCGAGGACUCGGGAGGAAGAUAAACGGGGGAUCCCGUGUCUGGACUUUCUCCUCCACCCUCUUCCCUUCGCAGCUGUGAAUCCUGGGAGGGGAAGGGUGGCCGCCCCGCCAGCAGAGAGCUGAAGGUGUUCCGUGGUCAGUGAGGGCUGGCACUGGCUCUGCACGAAGAUCUCCUCACCUCCCCAGCGGCUCCUGGCCAGCUCCCCACGGAGAGCCCAGGACACUUGUCCCUGGACACAGUGGUGCAGCCAUGCUUGGGCCAAACCAUGAGGCCACCAGAACCGCGAAAGGCUACUGUACUGAGAGGGAUACUGCGAGAGAGGCCCACAGGUUUCCAAGCAUCCCUCUCACUCCGCACACUCAUCUCCACGACCGGCUUUAAGUGCGGCCUUGAGGCCUGGCUCCCUGUUUGGACUUCUCUGCACCUCCAGGAGCUCACUUCCCGUCACAGCUGGAUGCCUCCUCCCGCAGGCACCUCCCGGGCAUCCUCCCGCCCCAGGCUGCACCUUCUGUGGGACUGGCCCCCGCAGGCACCUCCCGGGCACCCUCCCGCCCCAGGCUGCAGCUUCUGUGGGACUGAGCCCCGCAGGCACCUCCCCGGCAUCCUCCCGCCCCAGGCUGCACCUUCUGUGGGACUGAGCCCCGCAGGCACUUCCCCGGCAUCCUCCCGCCCCAGGCUGCAGCUUCUGUGGGACUGACCUUAAGACCCCAUCGGUUCCUCCUGAGAGCAGCAGAUCUCAGCCAGAUGCUGCCGGGAGGGAGGUGCUAGCGUCCACACCCAGACGGGUCCAGUCCAGCCCUGCUCUCCCUGGUCUCCAGGCAGGGCCCUCCCAGGGUGGACAUUGCCCAUCUCUGCCUGGCCAGGGGCUGCUGACCCACUGGUUCCAGAGUCUGAGCCUGUCCUGCACAAGUACCAUGGACAGGGGUCAGCCGGGCACUGAAGAGGCGUGGCAGAAUUGGGCAGGGCAAGGGCCCCAGCUGGCAAGCUGGAGUCAGGGCAAUUCCAACCAAGAAACUGCGGCAGGCCGGGUGCAGUGUCUCAAGCCUAUAAUCCCAGCACUUUGGGAGGCAGUGGGAGAAUCGCUUGAGCCCGGGAGUUUGAGACCAGCAUUGGUAACAUAGAGACCCUAUCGCUACAAGAAAAAAAAAAAAAAAAAGCUGGGCAUGGUGGUGCACACCUGUUGUCCCAGCUAUUCAGGAGGCUGACGUGGGAGGAUUGCUUGUGCCCAGGGGUUGCAGGCUGCAGUGAGCUGUGAUCAUACCACUGCACUCCAGCCUGGGCGACAGAGAACCUCUCUAAAAAAAAAGGAAAAUGAAAAAUAAAUGGGGGCAGAAGCUGAGCCAAGCAGAGGCGGGCAGCUCCUCCUCCAGGGCCCACCUGGCCUGCUGGG